CUGGCCUAGAAACAUUACGGAUGUGGCUGCUGUGCCACAUAUAUGUCAGUACGUGGUGUAGCAGAGAGGUGAGAGGCUCAGUGUUCGGACCUAUGAACAUUUGAAUGAUUAGUGGCCUAAUAUC
RNAcentral lists this small nucleolar RNA (124 nucleotides) under Meriones unguiculatus (Mongolian gerbil). RNAcentral's name for it is "Small nucleolar RNA SNORA17 (ENSMUGG00000006260.1)". It matches the Rfam family "Small nucleolar RNA SNORA17". Rfam says of the family: snoRNA ACA 17 belongs to the H/ACA family of snoRNAs and is predicted to guide pseudouridylation of the 28S rRNA at positions U4659 and U4598. It shares the same host gene together with ACA43. NB This family has a high threshold value to exclude a large number of closely related sequences that do not appear to have conserved H and ACA boxes, and may be pseudogenes. The record is from RNAcentral. Lineage: Eukaryota; Metazoa; Chordata; Mammalia; Rodentia; Muridae.